GAUGAACGCUGGCGGCGUGCCUAACACAUGCAAGUCGAGCGAACAGACGGGGAGUUUGCGCCUCUGACGGUAGCGGCGGACGGGUGGGUCACAUGUGGAUAGCAUACCUCUAAGACUGGGGUAAUAACGGCAGACCGGCUCUAAUAACGGAGAAUAUAUUGAACCGCAUGGUGCAAUAGUUAUAGACGGUUUUGGUGUCACUAAUAGCUGGUUCCGCGCUGGAUUAGUUAGUGGGUAAGGUAACGGCUUAGCAAGGCUACGAUGCGUAGCCGACCUGAGAGGGUGGUCGGCCACACGGGAAGUGAGACACGGUCCAGACUCCUACGGGAGGCAGCAGUAGGGAAUCUUGCGCAAUGGGCGAAAGCCUGACGCAGCAACACCGCGUGAGUGAUGAAGGUCUUCGGAUCGGAAAGCUCUGUUGUUGGGGAAGAACAAAUGUGGAAUUAGCUAUGCAGGUCUUGACGGUACCUAAACAAGAAGCCCCGGCUAACUACGUG
This 497-nucleotide ribosomal RNA is filed under the name uncultured bacterium. Its description in RNAcentral is "partial 16S ribosomal RNA". It matches the Rfam family "Bacterial small subunit ribosomal RNA", at positions 28 to 507 of the family's 1533-position model. The record is from RNAcentral.